RNAcentral lists this ribosomal RNA (926 nucleotides) under uncultured bacterium. Its description in RNAcentral is "bacterial SSU rRNA". It matches the Rfam family "Bacterial small subunit ribosomal RNA", at positions 8 to 949 of the family's 1533-position model. The record is from RNAcentral.
AGAGUUUGAUCAUGGCUCAGGACGAACGCUGGCGGCGUGCUUAACACAUGCAAGUCGAGCGAUGAAACACCUUCGGGUGUGAAUUAGCGGCGAACGGGUGAGGAACACGUGAAGAAUCUGCCUUCAACUCUGGGAUAACUCCGGGAAACCGGGGCUAAUACCGGAUAUGAGCCUCGAUCGCAUGAUUGGGGCUGGAAAGUUUUUCGGUUGAAGAUGACUUCGCGGCCUAUCAGCUUGUUGGUGAGGUAAUGGCUCACCAAGGCGACGACGGGUAGCCGGCCUGAGAGGGCGACCGGCCACACUGGGACUGAGACACGGCCCAGACUCCUACGGGAGGCAGCAGUGGGGAAUAUUGGGCAAUGGAGGAAACUCUGACCCAGCGACGCCGCGUGAGGGAUGAAGGCCUUCGGGUUGUAAACCUCCUUCAGUAGGGAAGAAGCGAAAGUGACGGUACCUACAGAAGAAGCACCGGCUAACUAUGUGCCAGCAGCCGCGGUAAUACAUAGGGUGCAAGCGUUGUCCGGAAUUAUUGGGCGUAAAGAGCUCGUAGGUGGUUCGAUACGUCGGAUGUGAAAAUCAGGGGCUCAACCCCUGACCUGCAUCCGAUACGGUCGAGCUAGAGUUUGGUAGGGGAGACUGGAAUUCCUGGUGUAGCGGUGGAAUGCGCAGAUAUCAGGAGGAACACCGAUGGCGAAGGCAGGUCUCUGGGCCAAUACUGACACUGAGGAGCGAAAGCGUGGGGAGCGAACAGGAUUAGAUACCCUGGUAGUCCACGCCGUAAACGGUGGGCGCUAGUUGUGCGAACCUUCCACGGUUUGUGCGACGCAGCUAACGCAUUAAGCGCCCCGCCUGGGGAGUACGAUCGCAAGAUUAAAACUCAAAGGAAUUGACGGGGCCCCGCACAAGCAGCGGAGCAUGCGGCUUAA